RNAcentral lists this ribosomal RNA (478 nucleotides) under uncultured bacterium. Its description in RNAcentral is "SSU rRNA". It matches the Rfam family "Bacterial small subunit ribosomal RNA", at positions 26 to 518 of the family's 1533-position model. The record is from RNAcentral.
AGGACAAACGCUGGCGGGGUGCAUGAGACAUGCAAGUCGAACGAGGUGCUAUCGGGCUUGCUCGAUGGUUACCGAGUGGCGAACGGCUGAGUAACGCGUAGAUGACCUGCCCGGAAGUGGGGAAUAACUGCCCGAAAGGGUGGCUAAUACCGCAUGUGGUCGACGAUUCGCUUCGUCGUCUAAAGGAGUAAUCCGCUUCCGGAGGGGUCUGCGUCCGAUUAGCUAGUUGGUGGGGUAACGGCUCACCAAGGCGACGAUCGGUAGCUGGUCUGAGAGGAUGAUCAGCCAGACUGGGACUGAGAACGGCCCAGACUCCUACGGGAGGCAGCAGUCGGGAAUUUUUGCCCAAUGGACGAAAGUCUGAGGCAGCAACUCCGCGUGAGGGAUGAAGGCUCUAGGGUCGUAAACCUCUUUUCUCAGGGAGAUCCAAGACGGUACCUGAGGAAUAAGCGACGGCUAACUACGUGCCAGCAGCCGC